GAUGAAGAACGUAGCGAAAUGCGAUAAGUAGUGUGAAUUGCAGAAUUCAGUGAAUCAUCGAAUCUUUGAACGCACAUUGUGCCCCUUGGUAUUCCAUGGGGCAUGCCUGUUCGAGCGUCAUUUGUACCUUCAAGCUCUGCUUGGUGUUGGGUGUUUGUCUCGCCUUGCGCGUAGACUCGCCUUAAAACAAUUGGCAGCCGGCGUAUUGAUUUCGGAGCGCAGUACAUCUCGCGCUUUGCACUCAUAACGACGACGUCCAAAAGUACUUUUUACACUCAUGACCUCGGAUCAGGUAGGGAUACCCGCUGAACUUAAGCAUAUCAAUAAGCGGAGGA
This 335-nucleotide unclassified non-coding RNA is filed under the name soil metagenome. RNAcentral describes it as "partial contains 5.8S ribosomal RNA, internal transcribed spacer 2, and large subunit ribosomal RNA". The stretch from base 1 to 120 matches the Rfam family "5.8S ribosomal RNA", at positions 35 to 154 of the family's 154-position model. The record is from RNAcentral.